GUGCUUACUUUGGCAGCAUAUAUACUAAAAUUGGAAUGACACAAAGGUUAGCAUGGCCCCUGUGUAAGGAUGACAUACAAAUGUGUGAAGUGGUCCAUAUUUUA
Molecule: small nuclear RNA, 104 nt
Organism: Manis pentadactyla (Chinese pangolin)
Lineage: Eukaryota; Metazoa; Chordata; Mammalia; Pholidota; Manidae
Source: RefSeq, a predicted model, not a curated record